GAUGAACGCUGGCGGCGUGCCUAAUACAUGCAAGUCGAGCGAACAGACGAGGAGCUUGCUCCUCUGACGUUAGCGGCGGACGGGUGAGUAACACGUGGAUAACCUACCUAUAAGACUGGGAUAACUUCGGGAAACCGGAGCUACUACCGGAUAAUAUAUUGAACCGCAUGGUUCAAUAGUGAAAGACGGUUUUGCUGUCACUUAUAGAUGGAUCCGUGCCGCAUUAGCUAGUUGGUAAGGUAACGGCUUACCAAGGCAACGAUGCGUAGCCGACCUGAGAGGGUGAUCGGCCACACUGGAACUGAGACACGGUCCAGACUCCUACGGGAGGCAGCAGUAGGGAAUCUUCCGCAAUGGGCGAAAGCCUGACGGAGCAACGCCGCGUGAGUGAUGAAGGUCUUCGGAUCGUAAAACUCUGUUAUUAGGGAAGAACAAAUGUGUAAGUAACUAUGCACGUCUUGACGGUACCUAAUCAGAAAGCCACGGCUAACUUCGUG
This 497-nucleotide ribosomal RNA is filed under the name uncultured bacterium. Its description in RNAcentral is "partial 16S ribosomal RNA". It matches the Rfam family "Bacterial small subunit ribosomal RNA", at positions 28 to 507 of the family's 1533-position model. The record is from RNAcentral.